AUACUCUGGUUUCUUUUCAGCUCGUAUAAAUCUUUCGCCUUUUACUGAAGAUUUCUGUGGAGAGGGGGGGAAAAUUGCAAAUAUAUCCUGUGACUACAUCCCAACAAAUGUG
RNAcentral lists this small nuclear RNA (112 nucleotides) under Balaenoptera musculus (blue whale). RNAcentral describes it as "U5 spliceosomal RNA (ENSBMSG00010001439.1)". It matches the Rfam family "U5 spliceosomal RNA". Rfam says of the family: U5 RNA is a component of both types of known spliceosome. The precise function of this molecule is unknown, though it is known that the 5' loop is required for splice site selection and p220 binding, and that both the 3' stem-loop and the Sm site are important for Sm protein binding and cap methylation. The record is from Rfam by way of RNAcentral. Lineage: Eukaryota; Metazoa; Chordata; Mammalia; Artiodactyla; Balaenopteridae.